This is an RNA transcript of Gallus gallus (chicken), 19349 nucleotides long. It is a transcript of the gene named myosin IIIB, with no coding region annotated. The record is from RefSeq and is a predicted model, not a curated record. NCBI's taxonomy places the organism in Eukaryota, Metazoa, Chordata, Aves, Galliformes, Phasianidae. The transcript is spliced from 39 exons.
GCGCCCAAAGGCGCGCGGCCCCGAAAUGGCGGCGUCCGUUUCACCGGCGGCGAGUGGGGCGGGGCGGUCUCCUCUCUGAGGUAACGCCGCGGUAGCUGGCGGCGCCAGUGCUUGUGUUUCCUCAGUACUCUGAGAAGUCCGCUGCAGCAGGGGGACGUACACAGACGUAACGUUUUUUGGAAGAGGUAAAUUCCUGUGAUCCAACCCAAGGAAACAUGAAAGCAGGAAGUGAGAUGAGGGAAGAGCCUAAGGGUUAGAAAGAGAAAAGGAGAAAGGGGGAAAAAGACUCAUACAAACUCCUAGCAUAACUGGCCCAGGUUUAUUGCUCAGCGGAACAGCACCUUUUGCUGGGUCCAGCAUAUGGCCAACAGAAGCUAUGUCAGUAUCUGCAAACUCAGCAAAUCCUGAAGGAGACUGGAUUAGGAAGCCAUUGUAUGGGUUAUUUCAAUACAAUUCCAGUAUGAUCGGACUGGAAUCAUUAGCUGAUCCUACGGACACCUGGGAAAUUAUAGAGACUAUUGGAAAAGGCACUUAUGGUAAAGUCUAUAAGGUUGCCAAUAAGAAAGAUGGGAGUCUGGCAGCAGUAAAGAUUCUCGAUCCUAUUAGCGAUGUAGAUGAAGAAAUUGAAGCAGAAUAUAAUAUUUUGCAGUCUCUUCCCAAUCAUCCUAAUGUUGUUAGAUUUUAUGGGAUGUUCUACAAAGCAGAUCAAUAUGUGGGAGGACAGCUCUGGCUAGUACUUGAGCUGUGCAAUGGAGGGUCUGUCACAGAACUUGUCAAAGGUUUGCUGAAGUGUGGCCAACGUUUGGAUGAAGCAAUGAUUUCAUAUAUCUUAUAUGGUGCUCUCUUGGGCCUUCAGCAUUUACACAAUAACCGGAUCAUUCAUCGAGAUGUCAAAGGGAACAACAUUCUUCUGACAACAGAAGGUGGAGUCAAGCUCGUUGACUUUGGUGUUUCAGCCCAGCUCACCAGCACACGGCUUCGUAGAAACACCUCAGUAGGAACACCCUUUUGGAUGGCUCCUGAGGUCAUUGCUUGUGAACAGCAAUAUGACUACUCAUAUGAUGCUCGAUGUGACGUAUGGUCUUUGGGAAUAACAGCUAUUGAACUCGGGGAUGGAGACCCUCCUUUAUUUGACAUGCAUCCGGUGAAAACUCUUUUUAAAAUUCCAAGAAACCCUCCUCCUACUUUGCUACAUCCUGAAAAAUGGUGCAGGGGAUUCAACCAUUUCAUUUCACAGUGUCUUAUCAAGGAUUUCGAGAAACGUCCUACAGUCACCCACCUUUUGGAGCAUCCAUUUAUUAAACAAGUGCAUGGUAAAGAUAUGUCCCUGCAAAAACAGCUGGCUGAGCUUAUCCAAGAACAGCAGCGACUAGGCUCUGUAGCAAAAACAAGGCAUGAACGAAUACAUACCAGAAGACCCUACCAUGUGGAUGGAGCUGACAAGUACUCUCAAGAUGACGAUCUGGUAAAUCUAGAAGUUCUUGAUGAGGAUACAAUUAUCCAUCAGCUACAGAAACGCUAUGCUGACUUACAAAUUUAUACAUAUGUUGGAGAUAUUUUGAUAGCCUUAAACCCUUUCCAGAAUCUCAGCAUUUACUCUCCACAGUUCUCCAAGCUUUACCAUGGUAUGAAGCGCUCAUCCAAUCCCCCCCACAUAUUUGCCUCUGCAGAUGCUGCCUACCAAAGUAUGGUGACAUUCAGCAAAGAUCAGUGCAUUAUCAUCAGUGGGGAAAGUGGUGCUGGAAAGACAGAAAGUGCCCAUUUGAUCGUCCAACAUUUGACCUUCUUGGGAAAGGCCAAUAACCGUGCUUUGCGUGAGAAAAUUCUUCAGGUGAAUCCUCUGGUUGAAGCAUUUGGGAAUGCCUGCACUGCCAUCAAUGACAACUCAAGUCGCUUCGGAAAAUAUCUGGAAAUGAUGUUUACACCCACAGGAGCUGUAAUGGGGGCAAAGAUUUCUGAGUAUCUACUUGAAAAGUCAAGGGUUAUAAAACAGGCUGUGGGAGAGAAAAAUUUCCAUAUAUUUUAUUAUAUUUAUGCUGGCCUUUAUCAUCAGAAGAAACUUUCUGAAUAUAGACUUCCUGAAAAAAAGCCUCCUAGAUACAUAGAUAAUGAAACUGGAAGAGUAAUGCACGAUAUUGUUACUAAGGAUUCCUAUGGAAGACAAUUUGAAGCAAUUCAGCAUUGCUUUAGAAUUAUAGGAUUCACUGAUGAGGAAGUGUACUCAGUGUACAGAAUUCUGACUGGUAUCUUAAAUACUGGAAAUAUUGAGUUUGCUGCCAUUUCUUCACAACACCAAACAGAUAAAAGUGAAGUUCCAAACCCAGAAGCCUUAGAAAAUGCUGCUGCACUGCUAAGUAUUGGAUCAGAAGAACUGCAAGAGGCCCUAACCUCCCACUGUGUUGUAACACGGGGGGAGACUAUUAUCCGAACAAACACUGUGGACAAAGCAGCUGACGUGCGAGAUGCCAUGUCUAAAGCACUUUAUGGCAGACUCUUCAGCUGGAUCGUAAAUCGUAUUAAUACGCUUCUUCAGCCAGAUAAAAAUAUAUGCAAUACUGAAAAUGGAAUGAAUGUUGGUAUACUAGAUAUAUUUGGAUUCGAGAACUUCGCAAGAAAUUCCUUUGAACAGCUGUGCAUAAAUAUUGCUAAUGAGCAGAUCCAGUUUUAUUUCAAUCAACAUAUUUUUGCACUUGAACAGAUGGAAUAUCAAAACGAGGGAAUUGAUGCUGCUACAGUGGAGUAUGAGGACAACCGUCCACUUCUAGAUAUGUUCCUACAGAAACCCAUGGGUCUCCUUUCUCUACUAGAUGAAGAAAGUCGAUUUCCUCAGGCAACAGACCUAACGUUAGUUGAUAAAUUUGAAGAUAACUUACGAUGCAAAUACUUCUGGAGACCGAAAGGAGUGGAAUUGUCAUUUGGUAUUCAGCACUAUGCUGGAAAGGUAUUAUAUGAUGCCUCCGCAUUUCUUGAGAAGAAUAGAGACACUCUUCCUGCUGACAUAGUGGUGGUGUUGAGAACCUCAGAGAACAAACUUCUUCAGCAGCUGUUUUCUAGCCCGUUAACCAAAACAGGUAACUUGGCACAGGCAAGAGCCAGAGUGACAGCGGCAUCUAGGUCUUUGCCCCCACAGCUUACUGCUGGGCGUAUUAAGGUUGACACAAUGGAAGUUAUGCGACACCCUGAGGAAACAACUAACAUGAAGCGACAAACUAUGGCUUCCUAUUUUAGGUAUUCCCUCAUGGAUCUUCUAUCCAAAAUGGUUGUUGGACAGCCUCACUUUAUCCGCUGCAUUAAACCUAAUGAUGAUCGAGAAGCACUAACAUUUUCUCAUGAGAGAGUUCUACUGCAGCUACGAUACACUGGAAUUCUGGAAACUGUCAAAAUACGUCAAAAAGGAUAUUCUCAUCGCAUCCUUUUUGAAGAGUUUGUUAAAAGGUAUUACUACCUUGCUUUCAAGGCACAUGAGUCUCCCCUUGGCAGCAGAGAGAACUGUCUCACCAUUUUGGAGAAAGCUAAACUAGAAAACUGGAUUCUUGGAAAAACCAAGGUUUUUCUAAAGUAUUACCAUAUAGAGCAGUUAAAUUUGUUCCUGCGAGAAGUUAUAGGGAGGGUGGUGAUCAUGCAGGCUUAUAUCAAGGGAUGGCUUGGAGCAAGGAGGUACAAGAAAGUCAAAGAAAAAAGAGAAAAUAGUGCUGUUACCAUACAGUCAGCUUGGAGAGGAUAUGAAGCUCGCAGGAAGUACAAGGAAAUAAGGAACAGAAGAAAUAAUGCUGCUAUACAUAUUCAAGCAGCUUUCAGGGGAUAUAUUGUUCGUAAAAACUACCCAAGACUGAAGAAGAGCACUGGCUGUGUAGCAGAUUCUCAGCAUAUGAGCAGCUGCUCUACUUCUGAUGUCGACUAUGAAGAGCACUGGCAGCAAACAAGUAACCAGUCUUCUCCUGUGGUGCCCGAUUUUCUUGACAAACAAACAAAAAAGAAGGAUUGGGAUGAGAUUGCUGCUUCUCCCUUUACUGUAAAAAAUACGUGCAAAAUGAGUGAUUCACAAUUAAUUAGCCAAUCUCAGUCAAUCGCAGACCAUCAGUCAAGCCCCCUGAGAUGUCCUAAAAAAGGAGGUUCAGAAAACUGUCUUGAACAGAAGCUGAGAACACCUCGUCGACGAUGUCAGCAGCCCAAAAUGCUGAAUAGCCCUGAGGACAACAUGUACUAUAACCAGUUAAAUGGAACUCUAGAAUAUCAAGGGAGCAAGAGGAAGCCAAGAAAACUUGGACAAAUCAAAGUGCUUGAUGGAGAGGAUGAAUAUUACAAAUCACUGUCAGCUGUUGAAUAUAUCCCUGAAGAUGACAGCUGUCUCAGUUCCCCAUCUCCUCCUUCUUCAAGAGGAGUGUCUUUCACUCAAAGCUGUACUUAUUCUGUUGACUAACACUGGAUGAGGAAAGAUGGCAUAGGAAACAAGACGCAAAUGUGGUCAGAGCAUCCAUAGGCUAGAAUAGAGUUUGAAGGUAGAUAGUUCAGCAAAAGUUUUGUCUCAAUGAAUAAACCCAGUAGUGAAGUCAGGGCAGAGCAGAUGAGAACAAGAGGAUUCUGUUGUUCCAAGAACAAGCCUUCAUUCACUUUUCUCCCACAGUCUGACAAAAGUUAAAAUCCUGCAAGAGCCAAGAGUCGUUCAGUUCACUCCUCACUCUCUUCUGCUGUACAUCUGGGUGUGGGCUUUAGAGACUUUAAAAGUUAAGGACUCAUUAAAUUGGUGAGUAGCUGCAGAUGAAUUAAUGACAUUAGAAGAUGCAGUACAACCAUGAAUGGCAAUUUGUAUGAACUCAUGCAUGCAGGUCAGUUUCUUUACUUUUUGUCAGAAUAUAACAAGAAGAAUUUGUUAUGAUUCCUCAUCAAAAAUAACAUAAAACUUUUCCUACAUAAUGCAUACAUUCUCCAGGCCCAUUAAUCUGCAACAUAUCUGGAUGGAAAAUGACAUUAUUUUGAAAACAGUUCAAUAACUAAACUAUGUUCUCAUAUUGGCAUAAGUCCUAGGGAGCUCUAGCAGUAUUGGUGCUUUGUGGUUUCAUCUCUCCUUUCUGAAAAUAAAGUUUCAUUGGGAAAAUAAUGUUUUAUUGUUAAUGCAGUGCACAUCAUUAUUAUGCAUAGUGAGAGUUUAUCAAUUGUUUCAGUUAAACAGAAGCAAGCCUUCCAGUUAGGUAUUACAUCAUUUGUCUAAAAACCAAAAGCUUAUCUUACACUGAGUAAUGCAUUAUGUGGAGUAGUUGUAUUGAUUUCAUAAAGAAGUAAAAAGAAGUAAAAAAAUAAUUUAUAAUUCAGAGAAGCACUUAAGCUGGAACCUAAGUCCUGCUGAAACCAAUGAAAUUUCAGCUUAUGAUUAAGUGCUUUGCUGAAUGGGGCUGAGUUAACAGCUUCAGAACAUUAAAUAACAAGCACAAACAAAAGGCAAACGUUCUCUAGAUGCAUUCCUUAGGUCCUUCCUAUUUCUUCUUCCCAAUUAUUAAGUUUGCUUCAAUCUCAGUCAUCAGAAAUGGACUUCAAAAGAUUUUGUGUCAUAUUUUGAGCGCUCUUGAAUUGCAUGGAAAUGGUAAAAUAUAACAAUUUCCUUGUCAUAUGAAAUGCUGCUAUCUACGUCUGAUAUAACUUUUCAAAUUGGUUUAAUGUCACUAAUAUUUUUAUUGUGAAGUUACUAACUGAGAACCACUGCAGAGUUAUGCAUUCAGAACUGUACACAAGCUGGUCUGUGUGUGGCUUUAUUUCAUAACUUACCCGUUUCUUCAUAUGCUGUUUGGCUGAUUCACUUCACACUCGCCACAUAACACCCUUGAGGUGGGUUUUUCUCAUCUUUACUUCAGUGCACGUGUAUCCCUUUAGAUUAUUAAGGGCCAUCUCCUCAGCACUGUACUGCUGGUGACCAGUUGGCAGAACAGAUUUUCACAGUUAAACAUGCAAAAACAAACUGAAUUUUAAAAAAGAUAGUUCUGAAAAUAUACAAGAUCAGAUACAAACACAGGUGCAUAAUGUACCCCAAGAAAUAGGGAGAAGCAGAGCAGGAGACGUGUCAGUCUGAUGGUCCUGGUCAGUGGGCACAUGUCAGUGCACAUUGCUCAGAUUUUCUCAUUUCGUUCAUUAUUUAUUAUUUCAUUCUGAUUUAUUGUCUUUCACGUAUAUUAUCCUGAAAUGUUAAUGUAUUUUGCUUAGUAGUUCAUAACAUCCUGUUCUUAAUAUUUUACAAAAGUAAAGCCUUUAAAUCCUGUCAUGAAAAAGAAAAUUUCAUAGACCGUGUCUGUAAUACAUUUAACGCUUUUCAGUGAAUGGGAGAGUAAAGAGCGACGACCAAUGAGAGAUUUUAGUAGCUUCCUUCUACAGACCCUAAUGGCACUAGCAGCCAGUUCUGCCUUUCCGUUAUGGCAGCAUGAAAACUCUCUGUGCCAACACACAUCGGGCAGGGAGCUUCUGGAGAUUAGUCCCUUUCAUUUGGUAAUUUUAAACUUGCUUCUCACUUAAACAUUUACAUCACUUCAGUAACAUAAAGGGACCUUAGAAUAGGAGUAAAUUGCAGCCCUCUUAAAUUUGCCCCCACUGUGACCUCCCUCACCCAUAUGCCAGAAGAGAGGUGGAAAGGGCUUUUGUGCACUGAGGAUCUUUUAAGUAGUCCCCAUCGCACCAUCUGAGGAGCUGUUACUUAAAAGCUUAUAAAAUAUACAUCUAUAUAAUGUAAAACUAGAAACUUUGGUAAGACCACUCAGACCAAAAGCUGAUGGUGGCAGUUUUGGUGGCAAUGACCACAUUUUUUAAGUGGUAGAUACUUUUCCCCCAGUACUGAACAGCUACUGAUUGUCUUGUGUUAUUUACCAUAGUUGCAUAAUGCUUUUAGGAACGUAUUCUCAGGUGAUAUUUUGUUCUAUAUUAUAUAACUGUGAGUGUUAAUACUUCCCAAGCAAUUGUCCCGUCGUCUUUUAAUUCCACCGAGUUCCUAACUUCUGAUAUCUCGUAGUUAUAAGAACUGUGCAUGGCACAUGCAAAGUGGAUUUUUUUGUUUCAGUAUAAAAGAAGAGGAAUUUAUUUAAACACGGACCUUUCUAAUGGAAUAGGGCACCUUCUCACAGCAUUGUUAGAGGAAGGAGAAUUUUGGGAGACAACCAAACUCUGGCAUUUUUUAAUGUCUUCUGGUUAACCAGAUACAUAAUAGUACAUACGAUUUAAAAUAAGGCCAUAUGGCACAGAAGUGUCAUCCUGUAUAGGAAACAACUAAGUAGUUUUAAUUCUGGUAUAUGCACAAGACAUGGCAUCUAAUAACCUCACCUAUCCUACUUUUUACUCUGAUAACAAAAUAUUUAAAAUAACAUCAAUUUUAUUGUUAGCAUCAGGAAUGUGUUUUGUUAGUGUGCCUUUUCUUUAAGACCCCUGGGGAGGAGUUGUAGCAGAAUGCUUAGUUAACAGAAAAUGUUUCUGCCUGACAGCAACGCAGGAUUUCCAGACUGACAGAAGUAGCACGGGAUGCUGUGAGAAGCCAAGGCCUGGGAGCAGCCCUCUAGGCCUGAGCUAGAGGUUAUAAAGUCGAUGAGAGGCUUUGUGUCUCCUUUGUGCUGGGACUGGAACUGGGAAGGGAAGAGGCCAACAAUUCAAAAUAAUAGCACACUGUGUCUUCAAACUCAGGCUGAUGCUGUGAUUCAUCUUAAUGGAUUUCCCAAGAAUUAUUGGAAAUUAUUUUAUUACACGUAUAAAUCCAGUAUCAGUCAGAAAAAUAAAUAUAUGCAUUGUGUUACCGGGGGAAUGUUUACUGUAGCACUCACGUGCUGUGAUGCUAGAGGACAUAGGAACAGAUAAGUGAAAAACACAUCUUGGAGUUAUAUUUCCACAAACCAGAUUACAUAUUAUUGAUCAGACCAGCAGUAGAUUAAAUCCCCUGCUUUUCUUGGGAGCCCUAUUUUUUUAACUAAGUUGCAGAGAGAGAUUAUUUUUCCACAAUUUAAAUAUCAUUUUGUAAGGUUGUUGGGAAAUGGAGAUGGCAAGUAGGUAGAUUAACAUUUGCAUUCUGCAGAAGACCAAAGUCCCAAUUUCGAAACAGUCUCUGGUGAAAAUUGGGUUUGAAGCUCUCAGCAAAACCAGUAUGGCCACAACACAGACUGGUGGCAAUCAGCUGGGCUGGAGCACAGAGUUGGGAGGGAGGGAGACCUGUCUGGGCUGUGUCCCAGAAUUAUCAUCGUAUGGAUCACAGCAAGUGUCAGGUGAAGAUAUCUGUCUAAAACUGGAGUAGCAGAAGAGAGGCAUUCUGAUGUGAGAUGUGCCAAUGGAAUGGCUGAGGCUGAGAUGGGGUGACAGGGCUUUGUGGUUCUGGUGGAAGUGAUUCUCCUAGAGCUCAGUAUUCUGGGAGGUGAUGAUACAGGAUUGCUGCUGGAGUCCUUAGCAAGGAGAGGUGAAUGUAGAAGAGGUGUUUUCACAAAUGGUGUGAUGUAGUUUAUUCAUUGUUUUCUGUUCUUACUGCUACUUCCAGUUACAAGCAACAAAUAACGCAGUUAAUGCAACUGGAACAGUUAGGUAAAGUCUGAUCUGACAGAGCAGCUCCUACUGAGAUCACAGUGUCCUUGAAACAGAAACUUCUGAUUUUGUAAUUUCUACCGCCACAGGAAUGAGCUCAGCUGAGAAGCAUAAUUACAAAUAAUCUAAUCAUUUGAGAAAAUUGAUAAUUUAAGAUCCCCAAUUCUCAUACAGAUUUCUAAGACUGCUGAAUGCUGUGGGUGAAACAAGGGAGGCUGCUUAAUCUGUCAGUCCACGCAGCUGAAACUUGGGACAAGGCAGUAUGUUAAAGACACUGCCGUUGCUUUGUCUUUAUGCCUCGAGAUGAAAGUAAACUAAAAGAGAAAUAGUGAAUGUAACCACUGUUCUUUAUAUUCUUGAUACAUAGGAUUGGUAUGAUGAAAGCUUACUUUCACAUCCAAAGAUAAUUCCUGUAUUUAAUGCAAGCAGAGACAAUUUAUUUCAUAAAAUUGAUCUGUUAGAAAUGAAGUUUUGAAAGAAAAGCAAAGUGAGAGGCUACAUGAAACUGUAUCUUGUGAUUACUUGUGUUAGAGCCUUCAGCAUUUUGAACUCAAUGCAGAUUUACAGUUGAAUUCCAAUUGGAAAUUGGUAUUGAUUGAUUAUGUUGCUCAUUUAGCAUUCCAGCAUGCUGCAACAAUAACGCAACAGACUGUGAUAAAAUGGGAUGUGAUCUAACAGGACAUGACCGGUGGGAUGAGAGCAUAGCACUGGGUCUGCUGGUAGUGCUGUGCAGUAGUUCAAGUUGGCAUCUUAUGUGCUUCGAUUGUUCAUUUCAUUUUACUGUCAUCCUACUGAGUUGAACACUUUAAAAGACACGGCGUUUUUCCAUCUGUAAGUCAUGGAAAGACAGAUGGAUAUGGAGAAUCUCCACCUACAGCACCUUGACUGAAUGCCAUUGCCCACUUAGCGGUAGAAAAAUCCCUUCUGGAAAAUUAAAAUGCCGUUAAAUAUCUUUUAUUGUGAAAGGCUCUUUAGUACAGGAAGUUACUGAUCUCUUACAAUUGAAAUGUUUGUGAUUCGUCUUUUCUUAAUGAGCCCAAGUAAAACCAACUGGUUCUUAUCAACAGAGCUGCUAUAUUAUAAACACCGCUUCUGUUACACUGAAGUUAAUCCCCAGUCCUGUUAGGAGAAACUCAUCCUUAUUAAAGUAACAUUAAGAGUUUCUUUUUAUCGAUCUGCUCCUUUCACUUAAUGAUAGGAACUUACUGAUGUUUUAAUAAUAACCUUGCAAGCUUUAUCUCAUUUUACUUCAAUGUGAGUUACAGAAAGAUGCUAUGGAAACUAACUUAGCAUAAACAUUUUGCAGAUGUCUUUAAAGGUUAGGGGAAAAAAAGAUUUAGUUGCACUGCAUGUUAACAAAGAUGGCUGAAAAACUACAAGAUAAAAGAGAGCCUGGAGUAGGAACAUCAAAGAAUUGUUAAUGACAAGAAAUACCAUUAGGGUUAGCAUCCCCUUUGUUUCAGCCCCCUCACACCUGCAGUGUGUUGCAGAUUCUGCCUUUGUUGGCACAUCUGAAUUACUUCCAUUAGCAUUUAUAGAAAAGUGGCUGCAAAACAACAGAAAUGUACCCCGGGUUUUCUCUGUUGCUCCAGAAAGUCUGAUAUUAGGUUCUCUGUGGGUUUCCUUCAAGGUACAGUAUCUUAUUGUAAAGGAGACUAUAGUCCCAGGAUUCUGUUGAUUGCAAAUGAGCGAGGUUGAAAGGAGAGGAUAGCUUUUGUUACUGCUCAAGAACUAAUAUAAGCAACUACAAGAAGCGCACAUAAGAAGCUCAGACAUUAGCAAUAGCAAAAUCAGAGCGUGAAAUUCAGAUUAGCCCUCCACAGGCUGUGAGAGGGAGGGGGUAUUGGAAGACUUGGCAUGGCUAAAGGUGUAACCUGUUUCAUUUGGCCCCUGAAAAUUUUUAACAGAUGGCGGGACCAGCUGUCUUUUUCAGCCAUUUAAUAAACUCUUCGGUGGUAACAGUUUGGGAAGUGGGGGGUUUUGAGUCUUAGGCCAGAGGAAAAAAUAAAGAAAUCUGUCCCAAUUGUCUUUGCCAAAUAGCGAAGUCUGGAAACAUUAUGAAAAGUUAAAGUGAAAAAUCUAAUUGAUGAUACUGUCCUGAUUAUCCGUUUCAGCAGCAGAGGAAAAAAGGACUGUCGGUGCCCAAGUGGACCAGUGCUCGAAAAAACGCCUAUUAUGUUGUUAUCUUUAUCUGUCAUUUUAAUUUUGGCUCUUGCAAAGGAGGCACAUGAUGAGAAAUUUAAAAUGAGCUGUAGGAUGAGAAACUGUCUUACUUUUUGAGACACGAUACUACGUCAAAGUAAUGUCUUGUGUAAAAACCAAACCCAAAUAUAUGCUGUGGAUAAGAUCAAGUUCACACGGUGAACUUAUUCUAACUUGCAUAACACAGCGAUAUCUAAUGAAAAUAAACUGCCAGUUUAGAAGCAUAUAAUGUUUGGGCUCCAGUAACCUUAGUGGUAUGUGGGGGUUUGCUUAUUACGAGUUUACCAAAAAAAAAAAAAAAAGCACUAAAAUUCUCUUUCUCCAGUUAAAUUAUUUUUUAAAAAAUUAACAUUUCCGACACAACACUUAAAUGGCAACUCUCAAUUAUGGGAGAUGUUUUAUUUAAAAAGCAUGUCUAGUGUCUUUGAACAGAACAGUUCUUUUUGCACAUUUACAUGCUACCCAGCUGAGCAGCCAACCCUUCCAUUUGACAAGGGCUUUGUUCUGCCUACAGGCCUAUUAUAAGCCCUAGAUUGUUUGCCCUUAAUAAAUUGCAACAAUAAGACAGAAACCUCUUUCAAGUUAAGAGAAAUAAAACACGUUGCCUACAUUGCAAAGCAUAUGAAGUUCAGUAAUGACAACAGAAACAUAUCUACUAAAUCUCAUUUGAUUUGCUCCCACAUCACUGCGGUUAAGAUAGCCCAGAAAGGUUACCAUCUUUCCAUACACUGAACAAAAGAUUAAAGAAAAUAACAGUGGGACAAAACAGCUCUAGCUACAGUUUCGGGCAUUUUGCUUUCUCCUACAUGAUAUAAGAUCAUACUGGAUGCUAUGUAGAGAGACCACUGGGAGCUGUUGAGCCUGAAAAAAAAAAAAAGUGAAUGUGAUUUAAUGUAGUACAGAAAAAGAAAUGUUUUUAACUAAAAUGAAAUGUGAUUUUUAUUAGGGAGAGAGAGAAAAAAAAGAGUGGCAAUUAUUCAAAUUAAAGAAUUUAUACUACUCUCCGGUGUGUUGGUGUUUGUCUGCUCAUGUGUGCCUGUCGAGCUGUCCCCUCAAUCACAAAGCCCUACCAAUUUUGCUUUUAUAGCAACUAAUGGACAUUCUUCUGUGGCACAAGUGUUGGUUGGGAGCUUGUGAUCUUAAACAAAAUUGCUGAGCCCUGUUUAUGGGGCCCCGUUUGCAGCAUUCAGCUGCCAGCUGUGUUGUUUGUGUUUGCUAUAAGUUGUUAGAAAAGGCCACCUUUGUUGAGCUUAGAUCUUCUGCGUAUUUUCUUCACUUAAGCUAGAAAUUCCCAAUGAUUUUUAGAGCGUGUCUACAAAUUAUGAAGAAAAUAGGAGGCAGUGUGCAAAAGAAACAGACACCUUGGACUCUGCAACAGAAAAAUUAAGGAAGGUGAGCUUACUUGUCAGUAGAUCACUAGGAAUUGAAGCGAUUUAAAAGAGCUGUCUCUGUUAGAAACUUGUUAGUAACUCGACGCAGUGUUUUCAGAAAUGAAUUCCAGUCACUGGUUCAUUUGUAGUUUACAUUUUUUAAAUGCUUUCUUUUAAUUUGCAGAUGGAAGUCCUGAGGAUAUAGAUAUUUCUUUGCUUUGAUAAUAAGAGAAGGACACUUGGUAGUGGAAGUGAUGCUGGCAGCUCAAAGUACAGCAAUACAAACUUUCAAAGGAAAUGUAGCAUUUAUAACAGGUAUCGAUUCCUUUGCUUUAAAGGCUACUUUUUAUUCUUUUAAGGUGGUUUUGACCCAUAGAUGACUGUUGAGAACUAUUAGUCAUUUUCUUGGGAACAUUUGAUAUUUCAGAUACCUCUGCUUUUCUUCUCUUAAGCCACAGUAUGCAGGAAAUGCUACAGCCACCCUGCUCUCCCAGGAAGGGGGAACUAAAGAUGAAGGUGGCCGUGGCUUUUUCCUCUCCUGUCUUCUUUUGUGUCACAAAGAAUUAGAGGUGGAUUCUUCAUUGUCUGCCACGGCACAGUGACAAGGUGCCAGCUUCGCUGCUUCUCCCAACUGCUGCACAGACCCCAAAAGAGAACGUCAUUUGUUAUUUCUGAGAGGGUGGAGCCGUCGUGUUUUACCCUGCUGCUUCCGACAGGGUUCAUCUCUGCUGUAUCCAAAUCUGGGUGGCACUUAGGUGAAGAAUUUUAAGGGAUGCACAUGAGAAAAUUAGUGUUAAUGAUUUUUGAUGAAGGGGGAAAAAAUGGACUCAGAAACAACAAAGUAGAAAAAUACGAUGUGAGGGAUUUAGAAGAAAAGGGAGGAAACUACCUGACAGAAGGAGGGGUUAAAAAAAAGGAAGGAACUGUUAGUUUCAAGGAAGGGGCAAUCCUGAGUUUUAAAUUUUUAAGAUGAUCCGUAGUAUAGGCUAUCAUGAAGCCUCAAAUCUUCUUGGAGAGCCUCUGGAGAUGCCUGUAAUACUGUAGUAGAAAGCCACUUGGAGAUGCUUUGGAAGCUUCUUGAGGAGACGAGUGGUAUAGUUACUGUGAAUCCAAAUAAAUGCCUUUAAAAUGCAAAGGUACAAAUGGAAUGGUAAUUGGAGUUCCAUAACUGAAGACAAAUAAAAUUUAUCAGAUCUAAAGCUCCUAGAUGUUCUAAACACUCGCUUUUCAACAAUUUUUUGAUGGUGCAAAGUAGAAGUUUUUUAGUUUCUUUUUUUCUUUCUGGGUCUGCAGCAUUGCAAGGAAUCGGGUUUUAAAGACAUUAAAACUAUUGUAUUUUAUAUUUUAUAAACCUACAGUAAGGUUUAGAAAGAAUCUUUCCUGUCAUAAGGCACUUUGAGUUUACAGAAAAUGCCAACGGGAGAAAAACAGAAGAAGCAUGCCUGGGAUUUAAUUUUCAAAAAGAGCAAUUGUUCAGUGUGCUACAGACUUUGUAGUUGGGACUCCAGAGAGACGGCCUACUGGUAGGUGAUAGAAAUCUUAGGCAGGUGAUAAAUGUGCUGUUUGUGAGCCUUCCUAUGCAGAGGACUGGGUUUUGAGAAUGAUGCUGUCUAAAAAACUUAUUUUCAUCUUAUUUUCUGGGGCUUCAUUGUGUCACAAGAAAUGUUUUGCUUCUUCAGACAAAUUGCACAGAGGUCAAUAUAUAUAAUAUCUCUACCAUGCAUUUAUGUUUUCACCUCCAAAUCAAACUGAUCAAGAGAUAUUAGAUAAAUACCAAGAGAACAAAAUACAUCACUGAUUUUUCAAGCUCCAUCCUGUAAAAACCCAAGAUUCACUCAACUAUCUGAAUAUUUAUUAUACUUUUUUCUCCAUACAAAAAGAUCUGAUGGUUAUAGCCCAAUUACAAUUAAACACAUAAUCUGUCUGCUUAGCAAGGCUGAAUCUGGGUGCUUUCAUUAAAAUCAGAGUGUUUGUGGAUUUGACAAAAUAAUUAAUCAGCAGCUGGAAAAUCAUGUUUAACAAUAGCUCACAUAUAGUCUAAUGGGUAGCAUGACAAGCUUGUUCUUAGCAUCUUAGGAGUCUUCAUUAUACUCUCUGUAUAACAGUGUAUAGCUGAAGAUAACAGAACACAACCUGGACUGAAAUUUAGGACAUGCAGGAGGGCUGUUGAACAAGGUACAGGCAGAAAACAUUUUCUGUGUCCUAAAUUGUUCUGAAUGGCCAAGAAUAGAAAGCACCACAAACAGUCCGGACUUCCAUGUUGCAAGCAUGCAUGUUAUGUUGUAGCUGCCUGUAGGACUGGGGAACCAGCCAAAUGCCGAUCAGCAAGGAGCUGGAAUGAGUGUUUUCCCCAGUAAGGGAAAACACUGAGUAUCCCCAAACUGGACUGACACGGAAAUAUGGUUGUCUGGUGGUCUCUUAUGAAUUAGCAAGUACCUGGUUGUUUGUGCUCGGUACACUCAGUGUUAGAAUUACAGAGGCACACUAUGCCCACCUAAAGGCCAUUCUGUCUUUAUAAAGAAAAGGUGUGAAGCUCAAUUCUUCAGUUUCCAUCUGCUGCUCUAAAUACUGUCCACCAGGCUGGGUAGUAAUAUCAGUGGUGGACAUGUUGGCUUAUCAUCGUGCUUGCACAGGCCACAUGCUUGUUAUCUGCUCUUCUCAGCAGCUUCCCACAGAAAGAUUGUUAUCUGCUCAUAAUUCAAAGCUGCUGAGAGAGGGUACAAGAGUCAGGAGAGACUACUUGAAAUUGGGGGUGAGAAGGAUUGAGAAAAAAAGGGCAAUGAGGUGAAACAUCCUAACAAUAUGGCCCCAAGUUAGACGCCUCUUCAGUAGGGUUAGGAUGUGGUGUGGGUCAAGAUGUGUUGUCUCCUGUGGUUUCCUUUAGUAUGAAUAGAAUAAUAACACACUACUUCUUUAUAAAAGAGGUAUGAAGAUAAAUGCUUUAAGACCGUGUGCUCAGCACUGCAGUGACAAGUACAACAGAUUGACUGAAGCUCCUCCCAAAACACGCACCUCACAGUUUGACCACAGUUCUUACUCAGGCCUGCCUCAAGACUUUGCUCACUGAUCCAGUUCCUAUGUUUUCCCAGCUCCACAGCUGCUCCUGUCAUUCAGACAAAUCUCCUGAAUUGGGCCUGUUGCUUUGAUGCUCCUUUCCAUGCCCACAGCACUGAGCCCUACUCCUGGGUAACAUUCCCUGUCCCUGGUUGGUUGGCUGGUGUACACAGAGAUGGCAAAAGGUGGACUGUGAAAACUACCUGGACUGCUGGCUGGGAACAGGAAGAACAAGAAAGUGGAAAUAAAGUUUCCACCCUUUAUUUAUAUAUGUUGAAUAGAUAGAUAGAUAGAUAGAUAGAUAGAUAGAUAGAUAGAUGUAAGAAUAUAUAUAUGCCUGUGUAGAGACUUCUGAGUGAAAUGUUAUUUUAGCCAAAAAAAGAACACCCUACAGAGAUGAAAACGGCUUCAAUCAAUCAUUCAGAGCAAACUGAGAUGCUCCAUUCGGUUUGGUAUUCUCAUUACCCGUGACCCCAGCACCAGCAUGUACGCAGCCAUGCCCACUCCCAGUUCUCCCGGCCGCUCUCAGCACUACUACGGUGUGAGCUCUCAAGUUGCAUUUCUGCUUCACCACCACAAGUGACAGCCUUUUGCCUCUGUCCCCCCUGUGAAAUGCUGUCUUGCACAGGAAAAGGAGAUCAAACGCAUCCAGCCUGUAACACACAAACAGAGCCAGGAUCUGGCAAGCGAGGGGCUGCCGGAAUAUCAGCAGAGAGAAGAUUCUGCUGCAGCCUAACAAGAAGGUCCUGGCCCCAGGCUGCUCCCUCCUGGUUUGGUGCAUCUGAGCAGUGGUGCUGCUCCACUCUGUGCAGCUGCUUCCCACCUCCUACAUCCCUCUGCUACUGCUUUCUGGUUUUUGAUGCUUAACUUCAAGCAAUGCAAGUAGCCUAUAAAGAACAGUGGAGCAUAUACCAAAGGAAAGAGCAAAGGUGAUUGAAUUGUGCUGUUUGUAGGUAAGAAUGGGCAAAUACUGAUCAGCUGAGGUGCCUCUGACUGGCAGAGCAAUAGCAAACAGAGGAAGUGGUUUGUUUUAUAGACAAUGCGAUCAAAAUCUCUGUGAGAGCCGUAAAAUAGAGAGCAGCCACUGAAGUGAUGACCACUGAGGCAUAUGGUAUCUAAAUUAACACGGAGCAUAGCAUCUCCUGGGAGGAGGUCAUCAGGGUAUCAUGAGGCUAGGGCAGAAGGCUCCUUUUGUCUCUUCCUACAUUAAAUUCCUAAGAUAAGGUAACACUAUACUCAUAUGGAAAACCAGAUAAAACUGGAAAUGCAAUGGGUUUUUUUGAGUCUUUGACACCAAGUUUAAAGGAUAAGGCUAUGCACAUUGCUGGAACUCUUAUCCUUUUUGGGGAGGGUGGGAAGAACUACCUCUAAUCCCUCUGUGUGAUUUCUAAAUCUUGAUUUAAGAGGGAUUUUGAUUACUCUGUUCUCUUAUAAACACUGUUUUACUUCUAGAAUGCAAAUGAUCUUUUCCUUAAUUUAGAGCCAAGUAAAUGAGAACAGGCAGGAGAAAUUCAUAAAUCAACUGAUAACUAUAUCUCAUUAAAGAGAAUCAUUGGCACUGAGGAACAGCUUCUCUCUGAAUCACUGCAUGUGCCAAGUAUUCUUAGCGUGAAAAAUGUAGCAAAGCACGAGCCCGCCUCAGUUCUUAUGGGCAGCUACUCCACUCACUGCUGUAUGAAUUCUGACAGAAGAGCACUGUGGCACAACCCAGUGCUUGAGGGUAUCGGUAUGGAUACUUGGUUGUUUUGUUUGUUUGUUUUUUCUCCAGCCUUUCUUAUUGUAAGAUGAAAAAUGUGGGAAAAUGGUCCCUUUUGGUUUCCUGUGGCCUCCUGAGAAGCAGUCAGUGAUGCUCGAUGACAGAUUUCUCCUGAAUCCCAUUAUUUGGGUUUGGAGCUCAUGUGACAGAGCUGUGCCAUUUGGACACUGGAGUCCCAGCACUGCAGCAUCAUAAUCUCUCUCACAUUUCCCAGCAUAAGAACUGGCUAAUUUAGACUAAGGGUUAGGUAAUUUAGAUUAAGAAUGCAUUUUCAUUUUAUUGCAUUAUCUGUCCUUAACCACAGAGCCUUCUCUUUCAUAUAUAAUAUGUGAUACUCUCUGUUCGGUAAAGCUAGAGUAUGGGGCUUCCUGCAUAUAGAAUGAAAAACAGGGAUGUGACAUUUACUGAGGGAGAGGGGCCCGAUAGUGUACUCUUUUCUGCUUGCCCUCCAUCUCACGUGUUCUAGAAGUGUGGGGAAAAUGCUGUUUGUUAGGCUGGAGCUGGAGCCAUGGCCAUGCUGGCAGCCCUGCCUCUGAGAGGAAUGUCCUUUUUCCUCUCCUUGUCCUGUGUUCUCAAACAUCUGGCCAAGCAGUGCAGCCCUGGGUGAGAAGGGCUUACUGAAGAGUAAUGUGAAGUAUGACUCAUGGCCAGUUUAGGAUUAUGCUUUGGCUUGACAUGACCAGCUAGCGGGACAUGCCUCAGCUGGUGCUCCCUGGUCACUGCUGCUUCACUUCAGGGUCCUGAGCUCUGGACAGAGCUGGGGUGGUUUGGUGAAGAGUUUGGUGAACAGCAGCCAGGUAAUAUCUCAGAGGAAGGCAAGGGUUCCUCUUUCCAAGCCCAGCACUGCUGUGUGGGUGCCUACAGAUGCUGUCUGGUAAAGAUGGGGAUGGAAGCUGGUCCUGCUGCAUAGACUAUAGUGAGAAUGUAUUUGUGUUUGUAUAGCACUGUGAGGAUAGAGAGCGUACAACUGCAGUAUGCAUUUGGAAUCAUUUUGCUGUUUCUUUGUAAAUUUUUGUUUGAAUAGUUUGCAUCAUUUAUGCACUUACCUGCACCAGUGAGGCAUCGAGGUUUGAAGUGAAACAGAAGCAAACCAUGCACCGCGUUCUGAGACCUUUCUGUCCAUUCUCCAGGGCCGCUUUUAUACAUCUUUCUGCCCAGCUAAGGAGAGAGUUCUUUCAUCUUCAUAGCCAAGGCUUUUCCCAGACCUCCUUGGUGCCCCAGGCCCAUGUCCACCUCCUUGGUGCCCCAGGCCCACUGGGAGCACACCAGUGCCCUGAGGCAGUGCUGGAAGUACUUGGAGGUUUGUUCUUUCUACUGGAUUCAUCUCAAAAACUCUCCCCAUGUUCGUGGGCACUCACCUACGUGGUGUCAGUAGGCACAAGGAGCACUGCCUGCCUUUCACUAAUAUGUAUGCAUUGCUGGCAUAAUCUACCUUACAAGUUUAGAGUGUCUAGGGAGGGUCUUGAGGCUUCGGCAGUGCCUCUUUCCCAGCACACCGCCAGUCCCACUCGGGUUUUUUUUUUCCCGCCUUUUUUUUCUCCUCAGAGACUCUGUGAAGAGCACUUGCACUUGGUGAGAAAAAGUGCGGGCUUGUGGAGCACUCCUGUUCAGCAGCAGUCCGUGAUGAACAGGUUGUUUCAGAAGUGACUCUGAGAUGCUGAAAAACGUUGCAUUUAGAAAAUAUAUUUUUGGCACCUGAAUGUUCCGCAACGCCAUUAGGAGCUCACGGAAUAACAGGUGCACUUCUACAGUGCUGGAUCGAUCCACUGAGCCAAACCCAGGGCAACGUGGCAGCCGUGCCAUCACCCAAAGCGUGGGCUGAGCAGCGCUCCUGCUCCCAAACUCGGUGCUCUUUGCAGUUUUAGCGCAGCACAGAUACAACGAAUUACGAGACCCGGUUUUGAAACAGUUCGCUGCUGGGCCUCCCGCCCGCCACGGCCGUCCCGUCGCAGCGCUCCCCCCGUGCCGGAGCCCCCCGGGCGUUACGCGGCUGCUGCGGGCGGGAUGCGACACGGGGUCGGGUUCCGCUUCUCCCCGGUACUCCGCGCGGAGCCGUGGGAGAGGACUCGGCGCUUUAAUCCCUUCAAAAGACAGCGGCCUAAUUCAGCUCGACGACUCUUGGAAGUCUUUGAGCGGGCGGCGAUUGUUUCCACGGGAAAGGCAGAUAAGGAUCUCUGUGCCGGCAUUUAAAGGGCCUGCGGCGGCGGUGUGAAUGCAAUCGCACCCGACGGCCGCGCGGAGGAUCGAGUUACCCGGGCUGAUGGCUUCGCAGGGCCGCGGCCCGGCGCUGCCCCGGCCCCGGGGGGGUGCGGAGGAGCUCGGAGCUCCGCCCGCCCGCAGCUCGGGACCGCCCGCAGCCAAAGGCGCUGCCGAGAGGGACUCUGCCUUCGUUUAAAGGAGCGCGGUGGUGGCGGUCGGCGCCCGCUGGGUGAGAG